AUUGAACGCUGGCGGCAUGCUUUACACAUGCAAGUCGAACGGCAGCGCGGGCUUCGGCCUGGCGGCGAGUGGCGAACGGGUGAGUAAUGCAUCGGAACGUGCCCAGUAGUGGGGGAUAGCCCGGCGAAAGCCGGAUUAAUACCGCAUACGACCUGAGGGUGAAAGCGGGGGACCGAAAGGCCUCGCGCUAUUGGAGCGGCCGAUGCCGGAUUAGCUAGUUGGUGGGGUAAAGGCCUACCAAGGCGACGAUCCGUAACUGGUCUGAGAGGAUGAUCAGUCACACUGGAACUGAGACACGGUCCAGACUCCUACGGGAGGCAGCAGUGGGGAAUAUUGGACAAUGGGCGAAAGCCUGAUCCAGCCAUGCCGCGUGUGUGAAGAAGGUCUUCGGAUUGUAAAGCACUUUAAGUUGGGAGGAAGGGCAGUAAGUUAAUACCUUGCUGUUUUGACGUUACCAACAGAAUAAGCACCGGCUAACUUCGUG
RNAcentral lists this ribosomal RNA (484 nucleotides) under uncultured bacterium. RNAcentral's name for it is "partial 16S ribosomal RNA". It matches the Rfam family "Bacterial small subunit ribosomal RNA", at positions 30 to 507 of the family's 1533-position model. The record is from RNAcentral.